RNAcentral lists this non-coding RNA (27 nucleotides) under Mus musculus (house mouse). The record is from RNAcentral. Lineage: Eukaryota; Metazoa; Chordata; Mammalia; Rodentia; Muridae.
UCAGUAAGUGCUAGCUAUUAUCAGUCC